CCUACGGGAGGCAGCAGUGGGGAAUUUUCCGCAAUGGGCGAAAGCCUGACGGAGCAACGCCGCGUGAGGGAUGAAGGCCUCUGGGCCGUAAACCUCUUUUAUCAAGGAAGAAGAUCUGACGGUACUUGAUGAAUAAGCCACGGCUAAUUCCGUGCCAGCAGCCGCGGUAAUACGGGAGUGGCAAGCGUUAUCCGGAAUUAUUGGGCGUAAAGCGUCCGCAGGCGGUCUUGUAAGUCUGUCGUUAAAGCGUGGAGCUCAACUCCAUUUCGGCGGUGGAAACUACAAGACUAGAGUGUGGUAGGGGCAGAGGGAAUUCCCGGUGUAGCGGUGAAAUGCGUAGAUAUCGGGAAGAACACCAGUGGCGAAGGCGCUCUGCUGGGCCAUAACUGACGCUCAUGGACGAAAGCUAGGGGAGCGAAAGGGAUUAGAUACCCCUGUAGUCCUAGCCGUAAACGAUGAACACUAGGUGUCGGGGGAAUCGACCCCCUCGGUGUCGUAGCUAACGCGUUAAGUGUUCCGCCUGGGGAGUACGCACGCAAGUGUGAAACUCAAAUGAAUUGACGG
Molecule: ribosomal RNA, 564 nt
Filed under: uncultured bacterium
Lineage: Bacteria
Description: bacterial SSU rRNA
Rfam family: Bacterial small subunit ribosomal RNA
Source: RNAcentral